CACCUCUCAGGGUCGCGCCUGGAGAGUUUCCAGUAGUCUACCAGUCUCGACUACAGGAGGGAGAGUAAAGCAGAGACCCGUCCAUUCCAUUCCUAGGUUGGCCAGGGGCUAGCGAGUGGAAGGCAAUGUGCUACCAGU
Molecule: non-coding RNA, 138 nt
Organism: Ornithorhynchus anatinus (platypus)
Lineage: Eukaryota; Metazoa; Chordata; Mammalia; Monotremata; Ornithorhynchidae
Source: Rfam